RNAcentral lists this ribosomal RNA (205 nucleotides) under uncultured bacterium. RNAcentral's name for it is "partial 16S ribosomal RNA". It matches the Rfam family "Bacterial small subunit ribosomal RNA", at positions 28 to 225 of the family's 1533-position model. The record is from RNAcentral.
GACGAACGCUGGCGGCGUGCUUAACACAUGCAAGUCGAGCGGUAAGGCCCUUUCGGGGGUACGACGAGCGGCGAACGGGUAGGAGUAACACGUGGGUGACCUCGCCCUCCAGCUCUGGGAGUAAGCCUCGGGAAACCGGGUACUAAUACCGGAUAUGACUCCAUGACGCAUGUUGGUGGGGUGGAAAGCCUUGUGCGGCUGAGGA